GCUACCUGCAGUCAACAGACUUCGGGUCUAGUGGCGCACGGGUGCGUAACGCGUGGGAAUCUGCCCUUAGGUUCGGGAUACUCAGGGAAACUUGAGCUAAUACCGGAUGAUGUCUUCGGACCAAAGAUUUAUCGCCUAAGGAUGAGCCCGCGUAGGAUUAGCUUGUUGGUGAGGUAAAAGCUCACCAAGGCGACGAUCCUUAGCUGGUCUGAGAGGAUGAUCAGCCACACUGGGACUGAGACACGGCCCAGACUCCUACGGGAGGCAGCAGUGGGGAAUAUUGGACAAUGGGCGAAAGCCUGAUCCAGCAAUGCCGCGUGAGUGAUGAAGGCCUUAGGGUUGUAAAGCUCUUUUACCCGGGAUGAUAAUGACAGUACCGGGAGAAUAAGCCCCGGCUAACUCCGUGCCAGCAGCCGCGGUAAUACGGAGGGGGCUAGCGUUGUUCGGAAUUACUGGGCGUAAAGCGCGCGUAGGCGGCUUCGCAAGUCAGAGGUGAAAGCCCGGGGCUCAACCCCGGAAUUGCCUUUGAGACUGCGUCGCUAGAAUCCGGGAGAGGUGAGUGGAAUUCCGAGUGUAAAGGUGAAAUUCCUAGAUAU
Molecule: ribosomal RNA, 596 nt
Filed under: uncultured Novosphingobium sp.
Lineage: Bacteria; Pseudomonadati; Pseudomonadota; Alphaproteobacteria; Sphingomonadales; Sphingomonadaceae
Description: bacterial SSU rRNA
Rfam family: Bacterial small subunit ribosomal RNA
Source: RNAcentral